UAUUGGGCGUAAGAGCUCGUAGGCGGUUUGUCGCGUCUGCCGUGAAAGUCCGGGGCUCACUCCGGAUCUGCGGUGGGUACGGGCAGACUAGAGUGAUGUAGGGGAGACUGAAAUUCCUGGUGUAGCGGUGAAAUGCGCAGAUAUCAGGAGGAACACCGAUGGCGAAGGCAGGUCUCUGGGCAUUAACUGACGCUGAGGAGCGAAAGCAUGGGGAGCGAACAGGAUUAGAUACCCUGGUAGUCCAUGCCGUAAACGUUGGGCACUAGGUGUGGGGGACAUUCCACGUUUUCCGCGCCGUAGCUAACGCAUUAAGUGCCCCGCCUGGGGAGUACGGCCGCAAGGCUAAAACUCAAAGGAAUUGACGGGGGCCCGCACAAGCGGCGGAGCAUGCGGAUUAAUUCGAUGCAACGCGAAGAACCUUACCAAGGCUUGACAUGAACCGGAAACGCCUGGAAACAGGUGCCCCACUUGUGGUCGGUUUACAGGUGGUGCAUGGUUGUCGUCAGCUCGUGUCGUGAGAUGUUGGGUUAAGUCCCGCAACGAGCGCAACCCUCGUUCUAUGUUGCCAGCACGUGAUGGUGGGGACUCAUAGGAGACUGCCGGGGUCAACUCGGAGGAAGGUGGGGACGACGUCAAAUCAUCAUGCCCCUUAUGUCUUGGGCUUCACGCAUGCUACAAUGGCCGGUACAAAGGGUUGCGAUACUGUGAGGUGGAGCUAAUCCCAAAAAGCCGGUCUCAGUUCGGAUUGGGGUCUGCAACUCGACCCCAUGAAGUCGGAGUCGCUAGUAAUCGCAGAUCAGCAACGCUGCGGUGAAUACGUUCCCGGGCCUUGUACACACCGCCCGUCAAGUCACGAAAGUUGGUAACACCCGAAGCCGGUGGCCUAACCCCUUGUGGGGGGGAGCCGUCGAAGUGGGACU
Molecule: ribosomal RNA, 920 nt
Filed under: Arthrobacter sp.
Lineage: Bacteria; Bacillati; Actinomycetota; Actinomycetes; Micrococcales; Micrococcaceae
Description: bacterial SSU rRNA
Rfam family: Bacterial small subunit ribosomal RNA
Source: RNAcentral